AACGAACGCUGGCGGCGCGCUUAACACAUGCAAGUCGAACGAGAAGGCGUAGCAAUACGCUUGUACAGUGGCGAACGGGUGAGUAAUACGUGGGCGACCUACCCUCGAGUGGGGAAUAAACCCGCCGAAAGGCGGGCUAAUGCCGCGUACGCUUCCAUCUUUAUGGAGGUGGAAGGAAAGCCGUGCCGUGGGCACGGCGCUCAAGGAUGGGCUCACGUCCUAUCAGCUUGUUGGAGGGUAACGGCCUACCAAGGCUCCGACGGGUAGCUGGUCUGAGAGGACGAUCAGCCACACUGGCACUGCGACACGGGCCAGACUCCUACGGGAGGCAGCAGUGAGGAAUAUUGCGCAAUGGGCGAAAGCCUGACGCAGCGACG
This 377-nucleotide ribosomal RNA is filed under the name uncultured bacterium. RNAcentral's name for it is "bacterial SSU rRNA". It matches the Rfam family "Bacterial small subunit ribosomal RNA", at positions 29 to 396 of the family's 1533-position model. The record is from RNAcentral.